RNAcentral lists this ribosomal RNA (253 nucleotides) under uncultured bacterium. RNAcentral's name for it is "partial 16S ribosomal RNA". It matches the Rfam family "Bacterial small subunit ribosomal RNA", at positions 524 to 776 of the family's 1533-position model. The record is from RNAcentral.
UACGUAGGGGGCAAGCGUUGUCCGGAAUUAUUGGGCGUAAAGAGCGUGUAGGCGGUCCGGUAAGUCGGCUGUGAAAGUCCAGGGCUCAACCCUGGGAUGCCGGUCGAUACUGCCGGACUAGAGUUCGGAAGAGGCGAGUGGAAUUCCCGGUGUAGCGGUGAAAUGCGCAGAUAUCGGGAGGAACACCUAUGGCGAAGGCAGCUCGCUGGGACGUUACUGACGCUGAGACGCGAAAGCAUGGGGAGCAAACAGG